UACAGAGGUGGCAAGCGUUGUUCGGAAUUACUGGGCGUAAAGGGCGCGUAGGCGGCCUUCUAAGUCAGACGUGAAAUCCCCCGGCUUAACCUGGGAACUGCGUCUGAUACUGGAGGGCUUGAGUAUGGGAGAGGGAUGUAGAAUUCCAGGUGUAGCGGUGAAAUGCGUAGAUAUCUGGAGGAAUACCGGUGGCGAAGGCGGCAUCCUGGACCAUAACUGACGCUGAGGCGCGAAAGCUAGGGGAGCAAACGGG
Molecule: ribosomal RNA, 253 nt
Filed under: uncultured bacterium
Lineage: Bacteria
Description: partial 16S ribosomal RNA
Rfam family: Bacterial small subunit ribosomal RNA
Source: RNAcentral